This 468-nucleotide ribosomal RNA is filed under the name uncultured bacterium. RNAcentral's name for it is "partial 16S ribosomal RNA". It matches the Rfam family "Bacterial small subunit ribosomal RNA", at positions 28 to 507 of the family's 1533-position model. The record is from RNAcentral.
GACGAACGCUGGCGGCGUGCUUAACACAUGCAAGUCGAACGGAAAGGCCCUGCUUUUGUGGGGUGCUCGAGUGGCGAACGGGUGUGUAACACGUGAGUAACCUGCCCUUGACUUUGGGAUAACUUCAGGAAACUGGGGCUAAUACCGGAUAGGAGCUCCUGCUGCAUGGUGGGGGUUGGAAAGUUUCGGCGGUUGGGGACGGACUCGCGGCUUAUCAGCUUGUUGGUGGGGGAGUGGCUUACCAAGGCUUUGACGGGUAGCCGGCCUGAGAGGGUGACCGGCCACAUUGGGACUGAGAUACGGCCCAGACUCCUACGGGAGGCAGCAGUGGGGAAUAUUGCACAAUGGGCGGAAGCCUGAUGCAGCAACGCCGCGUGCGGGAUGACGGCCUUCGGGUUGUAAACCGCUUUCGCCUGUGACGAAGCGUGAGUGACGGUAAUGGGUAAAGAAGCACCGGCUAACUACGUG